This 72-nucleotide transfer RNA is filed under the name Rattus norvegicus (Norway rat). It matches the Rfam family "tRNA". Rfam says of the family: Transfer RNA (tRNA) molecules are approximately 80 nucleotides in length. Their secondary structure includes four short double-helical elements and three loops (D, anti-codon, and T loops). Lineage: Eukaryota; Metazoa; Chordata; Mammalia; Rodentia; Muridae. The record is from Rfam by way of RNAcentral.
GGGGAUUUAGCUCAGUGGUAGAGCGCUUUCCUAGCAAGCAGAAGGGCCUGGGUUCAGUCCUCAGAUUCCUGG